ACCUUCUUACGAAGGUAUGCUUAAAGAGGGGCUUGCGCCACAUUAGUUAGUUGGUAGAGUAAAAGCCUACCAAGACGAUGAUGUGUAGCUGGACUGAGAGGUUGAACAGCCACAUUGGGACUGAGACACGGCCCAAACUCCUACGGGAGGCAGCAGUAGGGAAUUUUCGGCAAUGGAGGAAACUCUGACCGAGCAACGCCGCGUGAACGAUGAAGUAUUUCGGUAUGUAAAGUUCUUUUAUUGAAGAAGAAAAAGUAGUGGAAAAACUAUAUUGACGUUAUUCAAUGAAUAAGCCCCGGCUAACUAUGUGCCAGCAGCCGCGGUAAGACAUAGGGGGCGAGCGUUAUCCGGAAUUAUUGGGCGUAAAGGGUGCGUAGGCUGUUAGAUAAGUCUAUAAUUUAAUUUCAGUGCUUAACGCUGUCUUGUUAUAGAAACUGUCUUGACUAGAGUGAGAUAGAGGCAAGCGGAAUUCCAUGUGUAGCGGUAAAAUGUGUAAAUAUAUGGAGGAACACCAGAAGCGUAGGCGGCUUGCUGGGUCUUUACUGACGCUGAGGCACGAAAGCGUGGGUAGCAAACAGGAUUAGAUACCCUGGUAGUCCACGCCGUAAACGAUGAGUACUAAGUGUCGGGGUAAAACUCGGUACUGAAGUUAACACAUUAAGUACUCCGCCUGAGUAGUACGUACGCAAGUAUGAAACUUAAAGGAAUUGACGGGACUCCGCACAAGCGGUGGAUCAUGUUGUUUAAUUCGAAGAUACACGAAAAAUCUUACCAGGUCUUGACAUACUCUGCAAAGCUAUAGAAAUAUAGUGGAGGUUAUCAGGGAUACAGGUGGUGCAUGGUUGUCGUCAGUUCGUGUCGUGAGAUGUUAGGUUAAGUCCUAAAACGAACGCAACCCUUGUCGUUAAUUGCCAGCACAUAAUGGUGGGGACUUUAACGAGACUGCCAAUUAAACAUUGGAGGAAGGUGAGGAUUACGUCAAAUCAUCAUGCCCCUUAUGAUCUGGGCUACAAACGUGAUACAAUGGCUGUGACAAAGAGUAGCUGAAACGCGAGUUUUUAGCCAAUCUCAAAAAAGCAGUCUCAGUUCGGAUUGAAGUCUGUAACUCGACUUCAUGAAGUUGGAAUCGCUAGUAAUCGCGAAUCAGCAUGUCGCGGUGAAUACGUUCUCGGGGUUUGUACACACCGCCCGUCAAACCACGAAAGUUAGCAAUGCCCGAAAGCAGUAGCUUAACUUCGCAAGAAGAGGGA
Molecule: ribosomal RNA, 1250 nt
Filed under: Brinjal little leaf phytoplasma
Lineage: Bacteria; Bacillati; Mycoplasmatota; Mollicutes; Acholeplasmatales; Acholeplasmataceae
Description: bacterial SSU rRNA
Rfam family: Bacterial small subunit ribosomal RNA
Source: RNAcentral